GAGACCGCUGGUGUUAAACCAGAGGAAGGCGAGGGCAACGACAGGUCAGUAUGCCCCGAAUGUCCUGGGCUACACGCGCGCUACAAAGGACGGGACAAUGGGAAGCUAGGCCGAGAGGCCACGCUAACCCGAAACCCGUUCGUAGUUCGGAUUGAGGGCUGUAACUCGCCCUCAUGAAGCUGGAUUCCGUAGUAAUCGUGUUUCAACAUAGCACGGUGAAUAUGCCCCUGCUCCUUGCACACACCGCCCGUCA
This 253-nucleotide ribosomal RNA is filed under the name uncultured archaeon. RNAcentral's name for it is "partial 16S ribosomal RNA". It matches the Rfam family "Archaeal small subunit ribosomal RNA", at positions 1101 to 1355 of the family's 1478-position model. The record is from RNAcentral.